CAAGGAGGGCAAGGUCCAGGAUGACAAAGCAAGGGACAAGGGUGUUCGCAAUCUUGACCUCUAGUUUUACCACAGGGAUCACCGCAGGAAUGUGGUACCAAGUUUUUGACAAACUCAGGCUUCUCCUGUUUUCCGCACCAACAGAGAUAAUGAAGAGAAGUUUCCGUUUGAUUACUUUGACAAUAAGGACAACGCCAAGCGUCUUCAUUUCUUUGUUCGAUUGAGUUUUUACACCAUUUACGAAUACAAGAUAGAUGGAAAACAUGGUAGCAAGUACCACAGGACCAGAUCGAUGUAGAAGGGUUAAUGGUAUCGGUACAGACGCUACACUCAUAA
Schizosaccharomyces pombe (fission yeast) is the source of this 336-nucleotide non-coding RNA. The record is from the annotation of a GenBank genome assembly. Lineage: Eukaryota; Fungi; Ascomycota; Schizosaccharomycetes; Schizosaccharomycetales; Schizosaccharomycetaceae.